UACGUAGGUGGCAAGCGUUGUCCGGAAUUAUUGGGCGUAAAGCGCGCGCAGGCGGCUUUCUAAGUCCAUCUUAAAAGUGCGGGGCUUAACCCCGUGAUGGGAUGGAAACUGGAAAGCUGGAGUAUCGGAGAGGAAAGUGGAAUUCCUAGUGUAGCGAUGAAAUGCGUAGAGAUUAGGAAGAACACCGGUGGCGAAGGCGACUUUCUGGACGACAACUGACGCUGAGGCGCGAAAGCGUGGGGAGCAAACAGG
This 252-nucleotide ribosomal RNA is filed under the name Dialister succinatiphilus YIT 11850. Its description in RNAcentral is "partial 16S ribosomal RNA". It matches the Rfam family "Bacterial small subunit ribosomal RNA", at positions 524 to 776 of the family's 1533-position model. The record is from RNAcentral. Lineage: Bacteria; Bacillati; Bacillota; Negativicutes; Veillonellales; Veillonellaceae.